Molecule: small nucleolar RNA, 134 nt
Filed under: Sciurus vulgaris (Eurasian red squirrel)
Lineage: Eukaryota; Metazoa; Chordata; Mammalia; Rodentia; Sciuridae
Description: Small nucleolar RNA SNORA51 (ENSSVLG00005020560.1)
Rfam family: Small nucleolar RNA SNORA51
About the family: ACA51 is a member of the H/ACA class of snoRNA that guide the sites of modification of uridines to pseudouridines.
Source: Rfam by way of RNAcentral
UCCCCUCUGGUGCUUACCAGAGGUUGUGUUCUUACACUGACCUUACAGAAGAAGAGGAGGCAGAGUAAACCUACCCCGGGUAGGCCUCAGCCCAGGCCCUGCACCUGGUCUGCAUUGUGAAAGGGGAAAUAUGG